This 746-nucleotide ribosomal RNA is filed under the name uncultured Parvimonas sp. RNAcentral describes it as "bacterial SSU rRNA". It matches the Rfam family "Bacterial small subunit ribosomal RNA", at positions 28 to 776 of the family's 1533-position model. Lineage: Bacteria; Bacillati; Bacillota; Tissierellia; Tissierellales; Peptoniphilaceae. The record is from RNAcentral.
GACGAACGCUGGCGGCGUGCUUAACACAUGCAAGUCGAACGUGAUUUUUGUGGAAAUUCUUUCGGGAAUGGAAAUGAAAUGAAAGUGGCGAACGGGUGAGUAACACGUGAGCAACCUACCUUACACAGGGGGAUAGCCGUUGGAAACGACGAUUAAUACCGCAUGAGACCACAGAAUCGCAUGAUAUAGGGGUCAAAGAUUUAUCGGUGUAAGAAGGGCUCGCGUCUGAUUAGCUAGUUGGAAGGGUAAAGGCCUACCAAGGCGACGAUCAGUAGCCGGUCUGAGAGGAUGAACGGCCACAUUGGAACUGAGACACGGUCCAAACUCCUACGGGAGGCAGCAGUGGGGAAUAUUGCACAAUGGGGGGAACCCUGAUGCAGCGACGCCGCGUGAGCGAAGAAGGUUUUCGAAUCGUAAAGCUCUGUCCUAUGAGAAGAUAAUGACGGUAUCAUAGGAGGAAGCCCCGGCUAAAUACGUGCCAGCAGCCGCGGUAAUACGUAUGGGGCGAGCGUUGUCCGGAAUUAUUGGGCGUAAAGGGUACGUAGGCGGCCUUUUAAGUCAGGUGUGAAAGCGUGAGGCUUAACCUCAUUAAGCACUUGAAACUGGAAGGCUUNAGUGAAGGAGAGGAAAGUGGAAUUCCUAGUGUAGCGGUGAAAUGCGUAGAUAUUAGGAGGAAUACCGGUGGCGAAGGCGACUUUCUGGACUUUUACUGACGCUCAGGUACGAAAGCGUGGGGAGCAAACAGG